CCUAUGAUUCUAUGAAGGGUACUGACAGAAGUGUGAGCAUAUCCAAAGCUAGAAUAACAAGGGAUGGCAGAGGUUAGGAAUGUGGUAUAUUGUGUAUGGUGAAAAUGUAUAUAGCACCUGCCAGCACUAUAACUGUAUCAACUCUUCUUAUCCCAUUUUACAGUCACAAGUGGUGAAUUCAGCCACAAACUCUAGGAAUAAUGUGGCAAAGAUGGUCUUUGAUGAGCUAUUUACUGGUCACUAGCGCGGAGGGGAAUGGAGGUGCCCAAAUGAUGGCUCUGGUUUUCCAGUUUGGCAUGCUUUGCCAAUGGAAACUUGUUGCCAACUCUGCAGGUGGUUCUCAUUAAAUAAAACAUGGACGCAGGCAGCUGCAGAAGUGGUUGUUUGAGAACCUAAAAGUGCACGAUACUUUCAUUGCCAGGGCACCCAUCAGAAGAAAAGACACUUCAAGAGCAAUGGUUAAGUGCCACUCCCUCCUCUGGGGUAACUGAGUCAGCACCAAUAAGUCCAACAUAACCUGACGACUUCCAGUGCUGUGUUCCAGUUGACUAAUAAACACGACAGUUUUGAUAACGCUAUUUAGGUGUUACUGCAAAUGCUUGCUGAGGUGCAUUAAUCCCUGAAGAGUAUACAAGUCUCUUCCAGGAGUCUGGCUCAGUUGGACUCCCUGAAAAGAGCUCACGGCCUGAAACAGGAGUGGUGGAGCCCUAGAAGUUCAGGCUAAGGAGGUGGUGAGGCUGUGUGGCCUACCCUGUGCAGGAAGAGUGAGACCCUUGGAGGUCUGGCACGUUCCUAGAGACUGCUCCGAAGCCGGGGGCAAAGCACUGAUCUGCAGCUCAGAUUUGUAGCUGUGUUUUUUGUUGUUUUGCAGUAUAGAUGUAUCCUAAGUGGCUUGUCCUCUGGAUCUAUGAUCAGUAACACAGCACAUGCAGUGAACUAAAUAGAUCUAAGAGGGCCUGAUGAAGGACAAAACACGUUAUCUAUCACCACAAGGAAUAUCAACACAGGGCGCUUAACCUCCUCCCCAAAAGUUACAAGUAACUCUAUUCAAGUCAAAGGGAAAAGAAGGCCCCAUUAACACAGGUACAUAUUGCAGAUGCUUUCUAGUGUUUAGGUUUUGCAUGAAACCAUGCCAUAUGCUCUGUACAUUUUGCUAUAUCCACUGCAUCCCACUUGUCACCAGAGCCUGUUAUUGUUUGCAAAAAGUAAAUCAAAUUAGUUUGCAACCUAUUAUUCUUGUGUACGCCCCAGGAGCUGAGUAUGUAACUCUUUAGGCCAAGAACCUGAUUGUUUCUUCUAGUGUUUUACGUGGUGCCAAGGUAAAAUGAACAGCCCUGCAACUUCCUGGCUUUACCCUCCCUACUCUGCACCCUCUUUUGGUGAUAUUUAAGGGAGGCUUUAAUCUCUGAUAUAUAUUGGGAAGUGUUUGCACCUCGAGCUACUAUUAAAGUAGGGAAGGGACUAAAAAGAGAAAGCACGCAGGAAGGGGAAAUAAUAAAAAGAGUUUAUUCUAGGAGACAGAAAAACAAAAUUCAGCUUUUUUCUUCCCCCCAGAUCCUGAUACAUCAAUGAAAGGCUGUUAGGAAGGCACUACAAUUAGAAACCAAUAUCUGUCUGUCAUCAUCAUAUCCUGGUGCCAAAUAUUGAUGCAAAUAUCAUUUACAGCAGCCAGAGGAACUCAGGCCUUUUCUUCUAUUUCGAGUGACUGACAAUAUGUCUGCUACAGGGGGUGGCUGGCCAGGAGAGUUGUCAGGAAGUGGCGUAUCCAUUGCACUUAAAGAUACCACAGUGGAAAGGUUAGUGCUGAGCACUCAUAAGGUUUGAUCCUGCAGAACAGUUAAAUACAUGCUUGACUAUAAGCAUGUGAGCAGUCUUAUUUACUUCAAUGAGAUUAUGCACAUGCUGUGAGUUAAGCAUACACUUAAGGACAUUGCUGGAUCAGCACAAUAUAACCCAGUGAUAGGUACACUAGAAAUACUUAUUGUGACUGAUUAGAUAGCAGGAAUUGCAAUACUUGUCUCUGGAUACCAGAAUGCCUCUAACUUGGCAGGAUUUCACUGCUUUCUGAAUGAUUUUUAUAUGUCACUGCUCUGACAGCACGCAUCAUUUCUUCAUACACAAGAUGUCCACAUCACUGAACCCUCACUGCCAUCAUUAACAUUAAUUGGCUCCCUUGCAGGCAGCCUCCUAGAGUAGCCAAGGAGUGAAUGGAGACUGAAUGGCCCUCUCCCCUCAGAGCAGCAUUGAGAGACACUUGAGGCAGCCAGUGUGUGUAGGUUAGCUUACAUUGUUCAUACUGAGCCUGUUUUCUCUGGAUACAGAGAGGGUUUCAAUAAUCAGAGCUAUCAGUCUGGCUAGUUUUCACCAGCACAGACUCUGCACGCACAAACAUUAAAAAAAAAAGUGUUAAGCAUUUGUAAUAUUUACUUGCAGUGAUAUUAUUCUGCCACUACAUGGCUCUGUGCACUGUAUAGCAUAGCAGGCAAACUAUGGUCCAUGGUAAACAAGACAGACAAAGCUGGAAUGUGAGCUGAGUGGAAGCCUGUUUGAUGGUCUAUAUGUAGUAGCUUUUUAUUAAAGAAAACACUUCACA
This is a long non-coding RNA of Mauremys reevesii (Reeves's turtle), 2593 nucleotides long. RefSeq lists it as uncharacterized. Lineage: Eukaryota; Metazoa; Chordata; Testudines; Geoemydidae. The transcript has 2 exons. The record is from RefSeq and is a predicted model, not a curated record.